Molecule: long non-coding RNA, 387 nt
Organism: Cimex lectularius (bed bug)
Lineage: Eukaryota; Metazoa; Arthropoda; Insecta; Hemiptera; Cimicidae
Exons: 2
Source: RefSeq, a predicted model, not a curated record
UUUUUUUAAGGUGGUUCCAGACAUGUGGGAUUCACCGAUGCUGAGUAAAGGUUCGCUGAAUCCCGACUAGUGCUUAUUCACCGAGCAACAAUACUCAGUGCUCGCCAUGCCGCAUGUCUGGAUCCAUCUUAAAAUUGUACACCCCAAACGAGAUAGUAGAACCCCAACCAGGGACAUUGAAUGCUGGGAACCCAAGAAAAACGAAAGCAUAGAAGAGUAAAGUAUCUUCUUUAAUGGAUCGAAAAAUCAAAAGAAAGGUGAAAAGAUUUUGUGCAAAAAGUUAGGUGUCUGCGUUGUUUAUGUGUAAUGUUUUUUUAUGACGUUUUGUGCCUUAAAAAUCUUAUUUGCUCCCCUUUCAGCCUCAUUACAUUUUUGUUCACUUUGUUC